RNAcentral lists this microRNA precursor (91 nucleotides) under Podarcis lilfordi (Lilford's wall lizard). The record is from RNAcentral. Lineage: Eukaryota; Metazoa; Chordata; Lepidosauria; Squamata; Lacertidae.
CUUGUCCUCUGUCGUCCCCUUCUUCUUGUGCCCUCCACCUGAUGUUGGGAAAGAUGGAGGGCACAAGAAGAAGGGGACGGCAGUGGACAAG